GCUUGAGUNCCUUUCUCAAAGCGCGUUUAUUUGCCAAUUUUGAUCGGCUCGCUCGCCUGAAUUGCGCGGGACGAGUCGAUAAAAGUCGUUGAAUGGCCAGAUAAAUUUGCUGAUCGCACGGUCUUAGUACUGGCGACGAAUCUUUGAAACGACUUGCCUAUCAACUGUCGAUGGCAGGCUACGUGCCUACCAUGGUGACAACGGUUAACGGGGAAUCAGGGUUCGAUUCCGGAGAGAGAGCCUGAGAGACGGCUACCACAUCCAAGGAAGGCAGCAGGCACGCAAAUUACCCACUCCCAGAAUGGGGAGGUAGUGACGAUAAAUAACGGAACGUAUCUCGACGAGACGCGUUACCGGAACGACUGAGCCGUAUACAAGCUCGGCGAAAGCUAUUGGAGGGCAAGUCUGGUGCCAGCAGCCGCGGUAAUUCCAGCUCCAAUAGCGUAUAUUAAACUUGCUGCGGUUGAACCGCUCGUAGUUGGAUUGUGAACCGUGACCACGGUCCUCUAAGUGAAGAGGAAUGGCUUUGCCGCCGUUGGUCGUGAUCAAUGAUGUCAUAGUUGUCCGGAUGCUCUUCAUCGGGUGUCUUGGACGGCAUGAAUGUUUACUUUGAGAAAAUAAGAGCGCCCAAAGCAGGCUGCUAUAUGCUUGAAMSGAAUUUCAUGGGAUAGUGAA
RNAcentral lists this ribosomal RNA (675 nucleotides) under Capillaria aerophila. RNAcentral's name for it is "bacterial SSU rRNA". It matches the Rfam family "Eukaryotic small subunit ribosomal RNA", at positions 175 to 832 of the family's 1831-position model. Lineage: Eukaryota; Metazoa; Nematoda; Enoplea; Trichinellida; Capillariidae. The record is from RNAcentral.